UAUACAUUAAAUACUGAAGUCAAGUCAUCGUCUAUAUUAUUUUCAGCUAAAUGUUGUUUCCCUCUUUAACUCUUUCAAUGGAGUCUAUUUUUGUCGUUUCCCCAUUUGCAAUCGUGAAUGCUACCCCUUUAUUUCUUUUCCUUAAAUUUAUUUGUUUUUGCUGUUACCUCGUCUGAAAUCUUAGUUGCUGGCCAUGCCUUUUCUAUUCAGCUGAGAUGUGAUAGAUUUUGCUCUAACCUUUUGUUUUAACUCUGUGUGAAAUGUGAUAUAUUAUUGGAUUUUGCGUCCUACCCUAGUUGUCUCCUAGAGUCAUUAAUUUCCAUUUGGUGCAUUUUAAUUUUGGAGAGUUUGUUACUAAGGUUGGGUCUUGUACCUCUUCUCUUAAGAUGUUGAUCCUUUUAACAGUUCCCUCUUCCCUGGCGCGCCUUUCGUUUAUAAUGACGUUAAUUCUUCAAGGGUGUGCGUGGCCAGGCUCUCCUUCCGCUUUGUUGCUACCUCCUACCACCCCUCCCCCCACCGAGGAGGCAGGGAACGGCACCUGUAGAAGCAUGUUUCGAUGCUCAGACAAAGCCUUUUGGCGUUGUUCUGCGCUGUCCGUGUCAGUUGACCGCGGCGUGCGUCCCUCUCUGUCGGGAGGUGAUGAGCGCGUUUCGUGCUGAGGCUGCUGGAAUCCUGCUUGGUCGCUGUGUUGAUCGGAGUUCCUGAACCUUUCGGACGUGAAUGACCCCUGGCACUUCAGUGACUCUGGAGGAGAAAGCGAGGCUGAUGGCUUUGUGCAGCUCUGCCUCACUUCCAUCCAGUUCACACACAAGUGAAGA
Phascolarctos cinereus (koala) is the source of this 818-nucleotide non-coding RNA. The record is from RefSeq and is a predicted model, not a curated record. Lineage: Eukaryota; Metazoa; Chordata; Mammalia; Diprotodontia; Phascolarctidae.